GCCACCGAGAAUCCGAGUCUGUCACACAGACAUCCUCAUUACAUCAUCCUGCCACUCUGGGCCGCUGGGCUCUGCCCCCCUCCCCUCUCCCCCACCCCUUCCUUUUUACUGUCUUCUUUUUGGUGUCGGGGAGGACUGGAGAGAAUCCUGAAAGAUACUGAAGCAUUGAGAAUUUAUGGUUGUGUUGCUGUGGUUGUCACCUCCGCUCUACGUCAAAUUUAAGACUCAUUUCUUAAGGAUGUCUCUAUUUUCUGCUUUAUUUGCACAUUGAUGGCUCUGCUGCUCGGCUGGCCGCGGCCGCCGGCGUCUGAGAUAGACUUGUGUUGAUAUGUGAAAGGGAAGAACUGAUCAUUAGCAGGCAGACGGGAUUCAGAUAGCAUCUGGCGGGUUUUCUCCGUUUUCAUGUAAAAGCUUUCACGUUUUUGCUGCUCAGCACGAGGUUUUAACUUUUUCUUUUGGUAGUGGUGACGAUAUCUUCCCCUCUCCGCCUCUUCUUCCCCGUUUGUCCAUCAGCUUUCCCGUUUGGGAACCUGCUUACUUGUUAGCAGAAGUUCGCUGGGCUCUGGUCACUGAAGCCUUCUCCCCAGCAGAGGUGGGAGCUCUCUUCUCUCGUAUGCAAGGUUACCAAAAGGACUGUUUGUUUUUUUGUUUUUGUUUUUGUUUUUUUUUUUGGCUUAGUAUUGCAUUUGUAUCUUUCUGAACAUUUUAACUUAGACUAGGGAUAGGUAUGCCCUGGUUGUUUUUAACGUAGGACUUCAAACAAUUCUGAUUUUUUUUUAAACUUGCUAAGGGUUUAUUGGUUUGUCAUGUCUGCAACGAUCCAAUCAUGCACAACUCUUAAAAUUUAAAGCUUUCAAAUAAGAUCCACAAUUGUAUUGCCAAGACAUGGCUGAGAGCUUGCCCUUGGAGUUUUGGCUGUGCAGUUGUCAUUGUUUAAAUCAAGUGCAAAAGAGGUUAUUCCUGUUUAUUUAGUGUAAUAACUGUUUACAGUUAAAACUUUAAAGACUCAUAAAAGUAGGGCUGCUGUAUUUUACAGAUCUCAUCCUCCUUGUGGGAGAGACACACCACCACCCUAGGAAAGGCAACAGAUUGUUCCUGUCAUAUCGCUUUGCUGUUUUGGCGUGUACUUAAAGGAUUAUGAUUGAUAAGGCUGUCUUGCCAGAGAAUGUUGACACAGGUGGUAAGUGUGAUGCUUCUAUAAUACAUUUGGAUGUUUUCAGCUAAGUUCACUCUGGACUCUGGGGCUCCUCCAGAUGUUGGCUGAAAUUUGUCCUUGCCCCUCCCCAGGCUCCUGCACAAAACCUACAGUUCAUAAUGGAGCUACUGUACUGGCUGUGGAAGGAGGAGAUUCUGAAGAUAGGGAGAUUCAGCUAUCGGUCUUUGAAAUUUCCUGUGGUCUGUUCAUUCUAGAUGCAAAGGACAUGGAAAAAUCAAGUGCUCAAGUGGUUUAAAUAUGUUUGGAUGUUCCUAUUUAUAGACUACAGCAUUUUUCCAAUUAAAAUCCUCAGUUGUCAUGCAGAAGAAGGUUAUGUUUUUCUUGAUCACCACUUUUAUUUGAAAUGCUUAGUAUUGUAGAGUAUCACCAUUUUCUGUUUUAGUCAAAAGUAUAGAAAAAAUUAAAUCAAUUUUAUAUAUUGAAUUUUUUUCUAAAAUGUCUUUAUUGGAUUGAACGAAUGUUUAUACCUGAAAAAAAAGGGUUAAAAAAUGCCUUUCUCCAUCCUAGCAAUUCUUCUGGCAAUCUGAUAUUAUUAGAGUAGGUUUAAAAUCACCUUCUAACAUGACUCUGGUAUAUUCUUGGGAGAAAAAAGACUUGAAAGGCAUCUGUAUAUAUAUUUUAUUCUCCAUAUUAGUCUCCCUGGAAUAGAACAUUUUUUCCUGAGACAAAUCUAUUAGCUCAACUCAGAUACCAGAAAAAAUUGCCCUAACUGGCAGAGCAUUUGUUAUGUGUUUGAAUGUUUGAUUUACAUAAAGAAGGUUGACAUCCAUUUCUUUCACAGAGUUCUUACAUUUGGGUAGAAUAAUGACAGGUUGCCUUGCCAUUGGGAAAUUCCUUGUUGUGGCCUUUGUGGCAGCUGUAGGAACACGGAAGGACUCCUCUGUGGCAGGCAGGCCUCCGGCCUCUGUGGUGUGAACACUGAGAAAGGGGUCUGUCUGGCCGGAGAGAGCCCCUGGCGAGGGAGCUGGGCAGACUCACAGAUGCUGAUGACGCUUGUAGACGCUGCUGGGAGUUGCUGUUUUGUGAGUGACCCAGAUUGUACUUCAUCCACUUCUGUAGUUUUUACAAAGGGUCAAAGUGCUGUGAUGAAUUCUUAAGCUCAGAUCUCAAUGUGGCAAAAUAAAUUUAUUAGGCUAGAGUAUUUCUGUUUUUAUUUUUAAUUAAACUUUGUAUUUUGAGAGAAUUAUAGGUUUCACAUGCAGUUGUACUAAGGAAUGGAGAGGUCCCCCUGCACUUUACCCAGUUUCCCCCAACAGUAACAUCUUGCAAUAUCUAGUGUAAUAUUACAGCCUGGACGUUGACAUUGAUACAGUCCAGAUACAGAACAUUUCCAUCACCACAAGCACUCCUUGAAGUGCGUUUUUAAAUGCGUACUCCCUUCUCUCCUGCCCCCCCUCAUCCCCUCCCCACCUUAACCCUAGCAACUACUAGUCUGUGCUGCAUUUCUAUAAUUUGUCUCUUUAAGAAUGUUAUAUAAAUGAAAUCAUAUAGUUUGUAACCUUUUGGAAUUUUGCCUUUUCUCAGCAUAAUUUUCUGGAGAUUCGACUUGCCUGUAUGAAGAGUUUGUUCUUUCUCAGUGUUGGGUAGUAUUCCGUGGUCUGGUUGUCCCACGGUUCGUUUAACCGUUCACCAUUGGGGCUGUUGGGAGCUUCAGUGUUGUUUUUGGGUUUUGACUAUCAUGAAUAAAACUGCUGUAAACAUUCUUGUGCAGGUUUUUGUGUGAACGUAAGUUUUCAUUUCCCUGGGAUAAGUGCCCAGGAGUGCAGUUGUGGCUCAUCUGAUAAUUACAUAGAGAACUGCUUUUUGAAACUCACCUUGAUUCUGUGUGUGUGGAAGCGGAGACAAGGAGGACAUCCACAUUUUUGUGGCAUUUUUACUUUAACUGCAUUUGUUUAUGAUUUUAAAACAUACAGACUAUCUUAAAUAACGUGUAGCCAGAUAUCCAAAAACAUUUUCCACAACCUAGAUUCUGUUCUUAUUUUUGAGUAGUGCUUUUGAAAAAAAUUGCUUCUUUUUUGGGGUAAAAUGUUUGUGUAAUGGAAUAAAGGGAGACAUACACUAUAGAAAAGAUGUUGCAAAGCUGACAGGUUACUUGGAAAAACUGGGGGAUUUUCCAGGUGUUGACAGAGACCUGACAUUCCAGAAUGCCUUGUGAUAGUUUCUGAAUUGAGAGACUAGCGUUUGUCACUGUCCUCUCCCCCAUAGUUUUUGUGUGUAGAAUUAAGUCACUAUCUUUACAAUUUGUGUUCAGUAGAAUUGCAUUUAACGCUCAUUUAGUUCAACUCUAUACACUUAGUAGGAAAAAGAGGGAAAGAAGAAACGAAAAGUAUCUUUUCCUAGUAUGGCUCCUGAAAAUGCAACUACUUUACAGAUGCUUAAUGGGAGAAACGGCUUAGUUCCAAACCUGGAAAUUAUACUGUUAUGCUUACUGAGACUUAGUGAGGUAUGUACAAAACCAUCUGUGCUAUAUUUCUAGGGAGACCCACUGGAAAGAUUUUCAAGGGUAAUUUUUACUCUUAUUUUCUACCAUAUAUAUUGACUUUAGAACUCUCACUGAAGAUGCAGUUCCAUUUCUUUUUUAGAAACAUUGGAUAUCAUUAGCUAGUUAUGGUGAUCUUUCUAACAAAAGCCAAUAUUAUCAAUCUUUAGCUUUUUUGAGUGAGACACUAGGCUCUUUCAAUCUUUCAAUGCUUCUAAAUGUAAUUUCACCUUUAGCCCAUUGUGGUCAUGACCAUAGUGAUAUAAAUGACAUAAGAUAAUAAAAUAGUCCUUGCCCUUAAAAAUGACCUAAAUAAAAGAUAUGUGUACACUUGGAAUCUUUAAGUAUCAGUGGUCACUGGUCAUUAAGCAGCAAUGGAAGCACCCCAGGUUCCAGCAGUUCUAGGCGCUGGGAGCUAACAGUAAAGAAGAGCAACACAGCCCCUCUUCUCUUAGCCUGGUUUUCAUGGCUCUUUGCUUGCGGGGUGGGGAGAGGAGAAAAGUAAAAAGAAAAAGAGAGAGACCAACAUGAUUAUGUGUUAGUACAAAUCCAGAGCCUUCACGCUUCAGGAGAGAGACCAGGGAGCUGGGACCCUGGAGCAGGCCUCACAGAGAGCGGCAGGCUGGAAUUCUGCAGGAGCGCUGUGCGCCUGUGCGAUGUGGAGAGGGCGCCCAUGGGAAAGGGGAGAUGAGCUGCAGUGUGGUUGGUUGGAAGUGCAGUGGAAUCUGGUCUGGCUAGAAUUUCCUGGGGCAUCAAAGGGCUAUGUCACUGCCCCAAAGUAUAUUUAACAGCUUGCUAUGUUUUAGGAACUUGCCAGAAAUGCAGCAAGCUUUUUUUUGAGUAAUGUUUGAAUUUAAAUAUGUGGAUUUGAGUAAAAAAGCAAAUGGAUACUCUUCCGCCUAAAACUAGGGCUUGGAAAUAUAUUUCAGGUAAUGAAGCUCGAUCUGUUUGUAUGUGUCUAUGUAUAAGACAGAAUAUUAUUUUCCUCCUUUUAUGUUUGAUAAGGAAUAAGAUGUUUUAUACUUUUCUGGGGUCUUAAAUGCAUUAUCUAUAAGACCAUAAUACUUUUGAAAAUUUUUGUUUAUUUUAGGCGUAAAAUAACAAAAGAACUUAAAGUUCUUUUGGAAGAGCUCCAAAGUUAAAAUUGCAAGAUCUCAUAUAGAUAAAAAGUUUCCUAAAGAAUAGUACAUUUGUAAGAUUAUAUAGAGAGCUGAUGGCUUUGCUAAGAAACUAUUUUGAGCAACCUAAAAAAAUACAACUAUUUCUGUGCAUUUUUCUUAAAGUGUUCAAGGUAGUAAGAGAGAGAAGAGCCUUUUCUAAAUAUGCAUGCAAUUUUAGGGGCUGAAGUAGGAAGCUCUAAUAGACCGAGGUCCCUUUAACUUGAGACCUUGGAAAAAGGAAGAGAUGGAAGGGUCUAUUAGAGUUUCUUUGAAUUUAUAUGAAUCAUAGAUUUGACCAAAGUGGUUACAAAAGGCAUCAAAAGUAAGAUAAUCGGGAUUUUAAAUGUAAUAAUAUCGAUUCCAAUAUCCUCAACUCUAUGGCAUUGCCAAUGAGGAGGCCAAAAUGCAUUGUGUUUUGUGAAAGGUUGGUGACUUGAAAGUUCAGAGUGUAUGUAAUGACCAGGCAUUGUGGAAUCAUCUUGUAAUACUGUUUAGCAGUUAAAAAAAUAAAAGGAAAAGAAAACGGUGCAAUUUUGGACAGUUUUUUAAAAAAAAUUUUACAAAUCCUGCAAAUCAUAGGUUGGUUACCAGUAGACUUCCUGACUCGGCCAUGAUUGCUGUAUUCUCUGUGUAUUCCUUUAAAACACCAGGCACUUUAUAAUUUUGUCUAUAAUUGUUUAUGUAUAUUUUCUCCACAAAAUGUGUUUAGGGCAACUUAUUGCUGAAUUACCUUAACCCACUUGCCAUCUUUAAACUUCGUGUAUGAAUAAGUGUCAGCUGCAAGACGCGCUAGGACACUAUGUAAUUUUUUCCAGGAGCCUUCUUAUUCAAAAUACCUUUCAAACUCAGUGCAUAAAAAUAGCAUGCUACUUCCAGUUGCAGGCUUUUGAAGCUGGAGAAGACUUGUUUUUCACAUGAAGAAACUGAGUCUCAGGAAGAUGAAAUGACUUUCUGUUAAGUGAUAAUGAGGAUCUUUAGACUCCAAAGCAAAUGCUGCCAACUUGAAGAUGCUCGUCCCCAAUUCUGGAAAUUCAAUUUACAGAUGCUUCUAUCACAAUCCUAUUCUUAGUAAUGUUUUAUUCUAUAGACGUCAGAAAUAAAUGUCUACUUGCCAUCUGUACGUGUCAUACAAACAUUUUGGCUCCAAAUACAAGUACAAGUAACAAGUUAAUAUGGAUACAAGUAGCAAGUUAAAGUGUAUUGAUCUCAGAACUGAGUUUUAACCAAUAGAAUGUUUCGUUUAUUCAUUGCUAUUUCUGCAUACCUGCUGUGUUUUAGCAUUGUGAUAAAUCUGGGAAUUAAAUAUGAA
This is a non-coding RNA of Equus caballus (horse), 6164 nucleotides long. NCBI's taxonomy places the organism in Eukaryota, Metazoa, Chordata, Mammalia, Perissodactyla, Equidae. The record is from RefSeq and is a predicted model, not a curated record.